UACGUAGGGGGCAAGCGUUGUUCGGAAUCACUGGGCUUAAAGGGCGCGUAGGCGGCUUGUCAAGUCAGGGGUGAAAUCUUUCGGCUCAACCGGAAAAGUGCCUUUGAUACUGACAAGCUAGAGGGAAGUAGGGGCAUGUGGAACUUCUGGUGGAGCGGUGAAAUGCGUUGAUAUCAGAAGGAACGCCGGUGGCGAAAGCGACGUGCUGGACUUCUUCUGACGCUGAGGCGCGAAAGCUAGGGGAGCAAACGGG
This 253-nucleotide ribosomal RNA is filed under the name uncultured bacterium. RNAcentral's name for it is "partial 16S ribosomal RNA". It matches the Rfam family "Bacterial small subunit ribosomal RNA", at positions 524 to 776 of the family's 1533-position model. The record is from RNAcentral.